Molecule: non-coding RNA, 4224 nt
Organism: Anas platyrhynchos (mallard)
Lineage: Eukaryota; Metazoa; Chordata; Aves; Anseriformes; Anatidae
Source: RefSeq, a predicted model, not a curated record
GGGGCGGCGCGGGCUCCCCUCAGGCGGCCGCCUCCCGCCACUUGGAGCGGCGCAGAGCCCCUCAGCCUGGGUCCUGCCCGCAGCCCCGGCGAGGGGGCUCUCCUUCAACUCCUCCUCAGUUUGAAACGCGGCCCAGAAAAGGGCGAGGAGAUGGUAAACCUGAUGAAGAAAGUUGGUGUUUGAGUUAAGCCAAAUGCUGCAUCAUGAAUAGUGAACUUCUGGCAGGCCCAUUGAGAAGUACCAUGAAGUUUCUUCUACCAUUAAAACUGACAAAUUACAAAUAUACUGUGAAAGACAGAAUUUAAGGAUAUGUGGAAGUGAUGCAGCUCAUGAUGUGCUUCAGAAAAAAUAUGCCAGAAUGUGAUGUAAGAUAAUGCUUCGUUCUCAAAUAAAGAUGCCUGUGUUGCUGUUGGCUGAAGUCAGCCAUAUAGGAUCUGAAUGGGAAUGCGCCCUUGUAUUAGUAUCAUCUCACCGACAUUUACAUUGGGAUAUCUAUAAUUUACAUAGAUAAAAUCAAUUUCAGGCCCUGUACAGUUUUUCUCUACAGUAAUGAUUUUUUGUGUGUCUAAGAAUGUUGUAUAAACCUAAUCAAAUGCUUUGCAGAGGGCUUUUAUGUCAAGACAGUUCCUUUGAUCAAACAAACCUGUAUUCAGGAAAAAAAAAUGUUGUUUGGCAAGACUGAGUUCUCCUAAAGCUGUUUUGACUCUUGUUAUUCUAACAUCUCUAAUUCUAAACCAGUUUUGUUCUUUAUCAACUAUUUUAUGAUUCUACCAAAAAACAAUGUCAAAGUAACUAGCAUAUAUUUUACAUGGCUAUUCUUUUACUCCUUAAAAAUUCUGUUUAUUAGUAGGAGGAAAAAGGUCAAAGUAGGUUGUAAUUAAAUAUAAAGAAAUAGGGGCAAUUCAGUGAAGAGUGAAUUUAUGAGAAUCUAAAAGUAUAUUACAGUAUACUUAUAUAUACAGUGAGGAAAUACUAAUAUUGAUAUUUCUGCACUGAUGAGAACCUUCACUUUUAAUUUAUCAGCUAUUUCUUUUAGGAAUGCCAUAUUCCAUGGAAACACAACUCUUAAGCAAUCAUAGAUUGAACACUUGUCUGUAGGAUGCUAGAUUUCAUCAUCAAAAUAGUUUGCACACCUUACAUUCUAAAAACAAACAAACAAAAACAAACAAACAAACAAACAAACAAAAAAAAACACCACAAGUCUCAUGGGAAAAAUUUAGAACACUUGAUUAUGUAGCUGUUAACAGUAAAUCUAUCCUGAAAUGUGUAGUUAAGUAAUAACAGAUGUCAGUAUCAAGGAAAAAUAUGCAAAACUGACGACAAAGUAAAAUAAAAUAGAACACUGGAAGAAGUUUGCCCUUAUAAAUGCUUUCUGGAGUUUAAAAGUCACCUUUCAUGUGAAGUGUUUCUUUUUUGCAAGUUGUGUGGCUCUGUUAAGUGUCUGGAUUUUUAAUAAGUUCCAUAUUAAAAUAUACAGGUCACUUUGUUCAUCAAUUUAGAGCUUAUUUCAUUCUUUGAAGAAUGUUCUGUGGAAUUUCUGCUCUCUUAUAUGAUUUAUGCUUUGAAAGGAAUUGCCCAACCGCGUCUCCUGAGAUGUUUACCUCUACUCUUCUUGUACGUUUCAUGAUAUGUUUUAGUGUCUGUCUGUGAUUUGUUCUGCUCUCAAAGGAUGCAACUGUUAAUUAUCCUCUGCUGUUUUGAAUUCCAGUGUGACUUUGUAUUGAAUAUUAGUUAAUGCAUACGUGUUUCUUCACAGAAAUUCAAGGAAAACAAGAGUUUAUUCUUUUGCACUUGUUUAAUUUUUAAUUGCCUUUUUCAAGUAACAAACAAGCUUCAAGCUGACUUGCAGAUGUUGAAAACUAGGUCAUCUUGUUUAUGCACCAAGUAUGCUUGCUGUACUGCAGAGUGGUAGUCUAUAAAAACAAAUUAGAAGGGUUUUCCUAGGAGUAGGCAAGUGGAUAAGAAUGUUAGGGUAUCCUUACUGCAUCCAGCUAUGGAAUAACGGAAUAAUCAUUAUUUUUUCUUAGUUGUGCACCUAUUAUAAUUUUUUUUACUUGUUUGGAUUCAAUUUAACUGUUGGACUCUGGAUGAGUAAUUUUUAAGGGGAUUCUUCACUGAAAAUAUAACCAAUGGAGUCAUACUAAUACUGAUUUUCAACCCAGAUUUCAAUCUAGUGCUCUACUGUGCUAAUGUACUAAUGUGCUCUACUUUGAAGGGCAACUCAGGACUAGUGACUGUGGAUCACACUUGGUUACAGAGUCAUCCCAUCUUUUUAACCGUGAGAUUCAUUUAAAAUGCGGUGACAUAAAGCUGUUUCCUCCCUCACCUCUUGUUAGUCAUACCAUAUCCCCAGUCAGCCGUUCAAUUCAUUGAAGCUGAGCAUAAACAAGCUGAUAGUUCUUGUUGUCAUUGCAGAGCUUGAUUGUCUAUUACUCAGAAGUAUGAAUGUAAGUGGUGUAAUACUGGCAUCACAAAGUUUAGUGUCAUGGCGGCAGUUUAUACUAUAGAAAAACUUCAAUAUAUGUAAGUAGAUGAUCUAGUACAAUUAGUGAUUUAUUUAGUGAUUCCUUCAUUUUCUGCUGAAGUGUCUGGGGUUUACAGAGAACAUUAACACUUUAAGUUCAGUGGGGUGAUAGAACAGAAACUGAAGAAAUUGGCUUUGUUAUUUAAAACAUUGCUUCACUUCACAAGUCCUAUUUUAUGUUUUAUUAAAAUCAUGAAAUUGCAGAGAUGACUAGGCCAGGUUGAAAAAUUUUUCACCUGGCGACUGAGUUUUUAACAAAACCUUUUCUUUACGGCAAAUGAUUACCUCCUUUGAAACUGAAUACCUAAAAACUCAUGUGUCCCAUUUUCAUCUGAAAUUUGCAGUGUUUCAAUGUAAUAUACUGCAGCAGAUCAAGACACUUUACAAAGAAAAGCUUAAGGCUUGAGGCAAAGAGCACAUUCAAUAGGAGUCACAUGGUCCAACUGUCCAGGGAUUAAAACAGAAUUUAACUCUUGGUAGCGAUUCAUCAAAAUUUUAAUCUGUGAUGUCUUUUAUUCGUGUAUGCUCAAAUCUUAGUUGCAUCACUUGAGUAACUACAAUCGUAUUUACAAAAGCCAUAAAGUAACUGGACAGGAUUUGUAAGGUAGUGUAAUGAUCUCUUAAUCUUGUCUCAUUCUGAUUUUUUUUAAACAAUACACAGAAUUUUUUGGUAAUACUCACAGUGUAUGUAUUACUUACCAGAUGCUAGAUGGGAUUUGUGGGUACAAGUGAUAUCUUUUUUAGAACAAUUGGUACAGUUGGCAGAGUGGCAUUCAGUCACAGAAUUCCCUUUUUAGAUCUGAAACAGAAACAUCAAACUUCAAAAUUAAGUACUGUGGCUAAUAAAUUGUCUCAGAUUGUAUGAGAAAGGAGUUAGCUGGUGCCUAUGGAGUGAAGGUGGGGAAAGCUAUGGGUAGGGAAGAGAGGUGCCAAGCUGAUCAUCUACUUGGGGAGAGUGACAGGUAAAUCAUAGCCUGUGGGGAACAAGAAUGUUUCAGUCAGAGUCAGAUGAGAAACCAGAAGUACUUAACUUGACCUUAAUGUUCUGUCUCUGGAAUUUGAAUUUGGAAGGGAAGAAAAACAGAACAACACAACUUAGUGAGCAAUAUACUUAAGCUUAUUCAAUUUGUAAUUGAGUAAAUGUGAUAUCCACGAGAAACACUGAAGAAACAAUACCAUUUUAGUGUAAUUUUAAAGAUAUUUUCUUCAGAGGAGGUUUGUAGUUCAUAUAUCUGAAGCAUCUUUUCCUGCAUUGUGAGCUAUUUUUUUUGCAGAUAGCCUAUUCAACAAUCUUGGUUGUUUUUUAUUUUAUUUUUAUUUUAUUUUAUAUUUUAUUUUAUUCUGGCAAAGAUGUUCUUGAUGGCAUUUGUUCUCUUAUAAUACAGCUGACUUGACUUAGUGAAUAUGUAUCUUGUGUAUGUGUGUCACACACAGACCCCUGAAGUAGCUUGUAGUAUUUAAUAAAUUUUUAUUAAAAAAAAAAAAGUAUUUAAUGAUUAAUGGUAUACUGUGUUAUGCACUGUAGUGUAUUUCUAAUUGCUGAUACCAUUUGUACAAUAUCUGCCUUUGGGGAGCUAGAAGUAGCUAACUGCGUGAACCAUCUUGCCAUCUUGGGUUUUGAUACUGCAUUUCAGCUUUUUCUAAUGCUGAAACAUUGGGUUGUUUGUGGGUAUUGUUUCUUUUAUUUUGUUAUCAUUUCA